Molecule: ribosomal RNA, 882 nt
Filed under: Paraphaeosphaeria hydei
Lineage: Eukaryota; Fungi; Ascomycota; Dothideomycetes; Pleosporales; Didymosphaeriaceae
Description: partial large subunit ribosomal RNA
Rfam family: Eukaryotic large subunit ribosomal RNA
Source: RNAcentral
GCGGAGGAAAAGAAACCAACAGGGAUUGCCCUAGUAACGGCGAGUGAAGCGGCAACAGCUCAAAUUUGAAAUCUGGCUCUCUUUGGGAGUCCGAGUUGUAAUUUGCAGAGGAUGCUUUGGCAUUGGCGGCGGUCUAAGUUCCUUGGAACAGGACAUCACAGAGGGUGAGAAUCCCGUACGUGGUCGCCUGCCUUUGCCGUGUAAAGCUCCUUCGACGAGUCGAGUUGUUUGGGAAUGCAGCUCUAAAUGGGAGGUAAAUUUCUUCUAAAGCUAAAUACUGGCCAGAGACCGAUAGCGCACAAGUAGAGUGAUCGAAAGAUGAAAAGUACUUUGGAAAGAGAGUCAAAAAGCACGUGAAAUUGUUGAAAGGGAAGCGCUUGCAGCCAGACUUGCCCGCAGUUGCUCACCUAGGCUUUUGCCUGGGGCACUCUUCUGCGGGCAGGCCAGCAUCAGUUUGGGCGGUUGGAUAAAGGCCUCUGUCACGUAUCUCCCUUCGGGGUGACCUUAUAGGGGAGGCGUAAUGCAACCAGCCCGGACUGAGGUCCGCGCAUCUGCUAGGAUGCUGGCGUAAUGGCUGUAAGCGGCCCGUCUUGAAACACGGACCAAGGAGUCUAACAUCUAUGCGAGUGUUUGGGUGUCAAGCCCGGGCGCGCAAUGAAAGUGAACGGAGGUGGGAACCCUUUGGGUGCACCAUCGACCGAUCCUGAUGUCUUCGGAUGGAUUUGAGUAAGAGCAUAGCUGUUGGGACCCGAAAGAUGGUGAACUAUGCUUGAAUAGGGUGAAGCCAGAGGAAACUCUGGUGGAGGCUCGCAGCGGUUCUGACGUGCAAAUCGAUCGUCAAAUUUGGGCAUAGGGGCGAAAGACUAAUCGAACCAUCUAGUA